This 1125-nucleotide ribosomal RNA is filed under the name Sarcophyton glaucum. Its description in RNAcentral is "LSU rRNA". It matches the Rfam family "Bacterial large subunit ribosomal RNA", at positions 29 to 1859 of the family's 2925-position model. The record is from RNAcentral. Lineage: Eukaryota; Metazoa; Cnidaria; Anthozoa; Malacalcyonacea; Alcyoniidae.
AGUCUAGGGCCUGUCGGUAAGGGCGUGAAACAUGAAAUAACAAGGGAGAGACUUUGAACUUGUUUAUCCUAACUGAAAAGUGUGAAUUGAUAGUUAAUUGAAACAUCUUAAUAGACUAUGAGGAAUACAUCAACUGAGAUUCCCCUUGCGUAGCGGCGAGCGAUAGCGGAGUAAUUGUCUCAAACAGAUAAUUAAGAUGAUUGGACAUCUAGACUAAACCCCAAUAGACACCUAUAGAGAAAGUACCGUGAGGGAAAGACUUAGAAUUGGUUCUGAAAGUUACCUUUUGCAUAAUGGGCCUGCAAGACAAAAUUUGGCAAGCUUAAAUAGUAAAUGAAGGCGUAGUGAAAGCAAGAGAAAACUCGUAAGUCAAAUUACCCGAAACCAAGUGAUCUAACCAUGGCCAGGUAGCUAUGCUGACCGAACCAGUGAUUGUGGCAAAAAUCUUGGAUGAGCUGUGGUUAGCGGUGAAAUACUAGUCGAACUUGGAUAUAGCUGGUUCUCUACGAAACUUAUUUAGUAAGGCGCCCAAGUUAAUUCACCCCCAAACCCAGGGGCUUGAAUUAUUGGUGUAGUAAGACUAUGGCGAUAAGGCCCCUAGUCAAGAGGGGUAAGCCCUAACCAGAAAUUUAAGUCACUAAUACAGAGUAAGUGUAUAAAGAGGGUUCAACUUAGACAAACAGGAAGUAGGCUUGGAAACAGCCAUCUGCACAGGAAAACGUAAAAGUUCACUGAAUAAGCUAGGAAACUCUAAGAAUUAAGGCGGCUAAAUCUGUAACUGAAAUUCUGGAAGCCAUACAAAAAGGAAAUAUUAAUUGGCUUGGUAGUAGAGCGUUCUGUAGGCACUAUUCGUGCACACCUCGUGAGAAAAACAGAAGUGAUAAUGCAGGCAUAAGUAGUACAAGAUUUACUCCCAGAUAAAUAUAUACAGCUUCUAAGGCAUUACGCCCGAUGGACUAUAAUUCUUGUAUUUGUUCAGGAAAAAUAUUAUGUUCUUUCAACUGUUAUUAUGGGAAUUAUAUCUGGGCAUAAUUUCUCUUAAGGAACUUGGCAAAAUAAGAUCUCGACUGUUUACCAAAAACAUAGCUCUCUGCUAAAGGUUACUGAAGUAUAGAGGGUGAAUUC